GAAGAGUAAUUAACAAGCAAUGGCUGUAAUGGGAAUUGGGGCAGCUAAUUGGUUGAAGGGAAGUGGAGCUCUGUUACUUUCUUGCCGCACAAAUUCAAUUCCUGCAGUAGUUUCUUCAUGUACUGUUAUUGCUUCACGCUCGAGGGUGCACUAUUGUUCCUCAACAUUCUCACUUCAGCACCAGAAAAAGAAUAAUACCCUUUUCAGUUCUGGUGUCAAUGGUCAUAAAAUUGGUGAUUGGGGUAGUCAGGUUACGAAAUUAUACUUCAAUUUUUACUGUACGGCAUCAUCAAAUGUGAGUAUUGAAGAGAAGGAUUCGUCUGGUGAAGUAGUUGAGGAGGAUGAGGAGAGUAAGAUGAGGAAAAUUAAGGAUGCGGCGAAUAGUUUGGAUAUUAGGGUUGGGAGAAUAAUUAAAGCGUGGAGACAUGAGGAGGCUGAUUCACUUUAUGUUGAAGAGGUUGAUGUUGGUGAGGCUGAACCAAGAAUCAUUUGUAGUGGGUUGGUUAAGUAUGUACCUCUUGACCAUCUUCAGGAAAGGAGUGUGAUUGUUCUUGCAAAUUUAAAGCCAAGGAAUAUGCGGGGUGUCAAAUCAAAUGGAAUGCUGAUGGCAGCUUCUGAUGCAUCUCAUGAGAACGUGGAACUUCUUGAACCACCUGAAGGUGCAGUACCCGGGGAAAGGAUAUGGUUUGGUUCUGCUGAUGAAAAGGAUAAUCUACCUGAUGUGGCAACACCCAACCAGGUAGCAAAGAAAAAGAUUUGGGAGCUAGUACAACCACAUCUAAAAACAGAUGGUGCAUCUGUUGCUGCACUAGGAACGCAUUGUAUGCGAGCUUCAACAGGUGUGGUGGUCAGCCCAUCUCUAAA
This 864-nucleotide unclassified non-coding RNA is filed under the name Hevea brasiliensis (rubber tree). Lineage: Eukaryota; Viridiplantae; Streptophyta; Magnoliopsida; Malpighiales; Euphorbiaceae. The record is from RNAcentral.